This 253-nucleotide ribosomal RNA is filed under the name uncultured bacterium. RNAcentral's name for it is "partial 16S ribosomal RNA". It matches the Rfam family "Bacterial small subunit ribosomal RNA", at positions 524 to 776 of the family's 1533-position model. The record is from RNAcentral.
UACGGGGGGGGCAAGCGUUGUUCGGAAUUACUGGGCGUAAAGGGCUCGUAGGCGGCCAACUAAGUCAGACGUGAAAUCCCUCGGCUUAACCGGGGAACUGCGUCUGAUACUGGAUGGCUAGAGGUUGGGAGAGGGAUGCGGAAUUCCAGGUGUAGCGGUGAAAUGCGUAGAUAUCUGGAGGAACACCGGAGGCGAAGGCGGCAUCCUGGACCAAUUCUGACGCUGAGGAGCGAAAGCCAGGGGAGCAAACGGG